CAAGUCAUUCACAAAGUUCAACUUUCUUCGGUCCUCACGCGUAUAACAAUCUCACUCUCAUGCUCAUGCAGCACGCUAACAUAGUCCAGCUCUCUUUAGUCCUCAUACAAACGUAGUCACACUCAUAUUUAUGUUAUUGACAACCCAUGAGUCCUUGUGAUGUCUUCAGCACCUGCAAUUUGUUGGCCCUGCUUGAUACCAUAAUUGUUACCAAAGUUUAACCUCUUGAAAACGUAUGCACCAUGUAGAAAUUGAUUAAAAUUGAUUACAAAUGUAAUUGCAUUGCAAGAUUAUUGCCCUCAAUCAAACAUGCUCAAAUAUAGCAUGGUUUUUAAAGUUAUCUUUUUGUUUUUAUCCAUUCAAAAACUUGAUGGUGGCCCAUGAGGGUAAAUCUGAAA
Molecule: long non-coding RNA, 398 nt
Filed under: Carica papaya (papaya)
Lineage: Eukaryota; Viridiplantae; Streptophyta; Magnoliopsida; Brassicales; Caricaceae
Description: long non-coding RNA (CPAP_LNC001244)
Source: RNAcentral